UCAAAAAUGUUCCUGGUACACCAUGUCCCUCACUUGUCAGAACCAAACUCGUCUGCUCAUUUAUUUAUGACAUUAUUUUCCCUGAGAGAGGCUUUGUACUGUCGCACCAAUGGGGGCUAAAGACAUCAGAGGAAGAAGACACCUGGGGAGAAUCUCAAUUGGUUUUGCUCGACUCCUCGCAUCCUCUCCUCCGUCUUCUCCUCGCGUGCUUUUGAAAAAGGUCAAAGAAAACAACAGCUGAUUCAAAAGUGGUGUGGUGGAUUUUAAAACAUUUCUGCACUAGCCACCAGGAGGAUCAUCUUGUGCGUCAUCUGCCAAAGUAUGUCAUCAAAGAGGUGAGCAUGCUCCUCCAUCUGCCAAAGUAUGUCAUCAAAGAGGUGAGCAUGCUCCUCCAUCUGCUUACUAAUGACAUGACACUCUCCUCGACCACACGGAGGAGAGGAGGACGGAGGAGUCGAGGAGAGGACAGACCUUUUCCCAAUUGAGAAUCUCCCCUGGACACGCUCCAUAUGGAGUCACAUGACCAUCGUGUCCUUGUCUUGUGCUUCACAACAGAUACUGAAAAUGGAAAUGUGGGAUCGACAUAAAAUACAUUCUGGCCAAUAACCCAGAAAGACAUAGAUAUUUGGAAAAUUAUUGAAAUGGUGUCCUCUUGUUCCAAUGUGGUCUCAAUGCCAAUAGGACUAUACACUAAAUGAACAUCAUUUCCGAAACAAUGCUUUUCAGAGAACGCUUUCCAUUGAGUGCAUCAUUGUACUUUGCCUUUUCAUUCACCUCAGUCAUUUGUUCAAUAUCUAGAAAUAGUCCAGACAGUCAUAGUACUUAUUUUGAAUGGACACAAGUGAUGUGUACACAUAGGCUCUUUUUUAUCAUACUGAUGGCAAUAUCUAAAAAAAAAAAAAUCAGUUUGACAUUGUGGGGAGAUAGAACAGUAGAUCAGUUGAAGAUCAGCUUCACAAGCCUGGACAUGUGCUCUGAGCAGAGCACAUGCCCAUGAAUUAUCUGAAGGAGUACUGGUAGGCAGGUGUUGGGCAGAGCAGAGCUGAGUAGGAUUCAUAUUGAGAUGUCCAUCACGGCUCACUGGUUUGAUAUUUCCAUCAUGGACAGCAAAGGAGACCUUGACAGUUGGGCUGCUCACAGCAAGCUGUUUUCAUGGCUUGAAGAGCCCUUAACAUGCACCAGAGUUGAAGGAUUGGUAGGAGAUUAUUAAAUAAAGUGACAAGCACACUACCCAUUCAUUCGCUGCUUCGAAAUCACUGUGGAAUACAGUAUCA
Oncorhynchus tshawytscha (Chinook salmon) is the source of this 1274-nucleotide long non-coding RNA. RefSeq lists it as uncharacterized. The transcript has 3 exons. The record is from RefSeq and is a predicted model, not a curated record. Lineage: Eukaryota; Metazoa; Chordata; Actinopteri; Salmoniformes; Salmonidae.